This is a long non-coding RNA of Saimiri boliviensis boliviensis (Bolivian squirrel monkey), 1382 nucleotides long. RefSeq lists it as uncharacterized. The record is from RefSeq and is a predicted model, not a curated record. Lineage: Eukaryota; Metazoa; Chordata; Mammalia; Primates; Cebidae.
AAGAUGUUAUAUUUCCAACUGGUAAGGGCUAGUUUAUAAACAGAAAAGAACAUGUAGCUUACAUAACGUUUGUUGGAGAAUAUAUCCUGGAAAAAUCAUGAUAUCACAGAUAUACACUAAAAAUCUGAAGGCAAUUAAGGAGAAACAUUUUCAGUAGACGAGUUAUUUAAUAAAGAGAGAGCUUGUUUCAGAAUUGGUAUCUUCGUGAAUAUUUGGCUGCUUGGAAAAAGUUAUGUUGGUGCCGGGAUUCAACCGUUGCCUGGACAGAGGUGGCCACUAGAGUCAUUAGCAUGAACAUCGGCACCAGUGACUACAUAGGUCCCAGGAUUGUAGCCAGCUGCCUCCAGAGAUCACUUGAGAGGUGCAGAGACUGUGGGCCAGCCCCUCAUUCUUGUCUGAGACAGCGACGCCCUCCCCACUCAGGAAUUAUGCACAGUUAGCAGAGCUCUGAAAUGAAUGGCUUCAUUUAAUGAAAUCACAAAAGAAGGAACACCAGCAAGACCACCCAGGCCCCAGCUCCAGUUUUUCCUGAAGAAUCUGGCCGCAUCUCCCUUUUUGAAGGCAGAGUUUCAUCUUGCCCCAGGGAGAAGCCACUUCCUGGGCAUGAGUGUUAAAGAGACAAAAAUGGUGACGUAUGGUCACCACUCCACCAGAAACGGAAGAAAGCCUUAGACGGCCCUGCGUGAACCUGCCCCUAAACACACUGCGCAUGCUCCAUUCCAAAGGGUAAGGCGGGCGCUGCGCAUGCGCGAAACCCACCCUGCGCAUGCGCGGAACCCACCCUGCGCGGGAAGACUCCUGGGAAAGAGGCGAGCCUGUACAGUCCCAGGAUCAAGGUUAAAGACCCUCUUUUUCUAACUGUCUUCUUUAACUCUCUUUUCUCUCUUGGACCUUCAGGCACCUGCUUGGGUCUCUUUCAAGCGAAUUUUCCUUUCUUUCCUGUUCUAAAGCCUUUUAACUAAACUUCCACUCCUGCUCUGAAACUUGCCCCUCUCCUUUUCUGCCUCAUGCCCCUCCGUCGAAUUCUUUCUUCUGAGGAGGUAGGGACUGAAGCGGAGCCAUAGGGAUUCUCCGCUGAUAACUCGGGGUAACUCGGGUCUCUUCCACUGCUGACAUAUGUAGCAAGUCCUGUCUUGGGCUGGCAGGCACCAUGGCCGACACCACAUGUGCAGAGAGAGGGGGAAGACCAGGCAGUGACUCAUGACAUCACCCUCGUCUCUGGAAGGCAAGAUGUAGGUCUCGUCAGGUGCCCUGCAGCGCUGGCCACAGCCAGAACCCCUGCAAUACAAACCAGGAUGAGGGAAAGCCGCCAGAAUACGCCUAUCGCGUUUUUUAUUAGUAAAUCCAGAGAACGUGUUAUAUAGAGUGUGAGACAAUCACCA